This 2905-nucleotide ribosomal RNA is filed under the name Salmonella enterica subsp. enterica serovar Newport str. CFSAN000827. RNAcentral's name for it is "23S ribosomal RNA". It matches the Rfam family "Bacterial large subunit ribosomal RNA". The record is from RNAcentral. Lineage: Bacteria; Pseudomonadati; Pseudomonadota; Gammaproteobacteria; Enterobacterales; Enterobacteriaceae.
GGUUAAGCGACUAAGCGUACACGGUGGAUGCCCUGGCAGUCAGAGGCGAUGAAGGGCGUGCUAAUCUGCGAUAAGCGCCGGUAAGGUGAUAUGAACCGUUAUAACCGGCGAUACCCGAAUGGGGAAACCCAGUGUGAUUCGUCACACUAUCAUUAACUGAAUCCAUAGGUUAAUGAGGCGAACCGGGGGAACUGAAACAUCUAAGUACCCCGAGGAAAAGAAAUCAACCGAGAUUCCCCCAGUAGCGGCGAGCGAACGGGGAGGAGCCCAGAGCCUGAAUCAGCAUGUGUGUUAGUGGAAGCGUCUGGAAAGGCGCGCGAUACAGGGUGACAGCCCCGUACACAAAAGCGCAUGUGCUGUGAGCUCGAUGAGUAGGGCGGGACACGUGAUAUCCUGUCUGAAUAUGGGGGGACCAUCCUCCAAGGCUAAAUACUCCUGACUGACCGAUAGUGAACCAGUACCGUGAGGGAAAGGCGAAAAGAACCCCGGCGAGGGGAGUGAAAAAGAACCUGAAACCGUGUACGUACAAGCAGUGGGAGCACCCUUUUGGGUGUGACUGCGUACCUUUUGUAUAAUGGGUCAGCGACUUAUAUUCUGUAGCAAGGUUAACCGAAUAGGGGAGCCGGAGGGAAACCGAGUCUUAACCGGGCGUUAAGUUGCAGGGUAUAGACCCGAAACCCGGUGAUCUAGCCAUGGGCAGGUUGAAGGUUGGGUAACACUAACUGGAGGACCGAACCGACUAAUGUUGAAAAAUUAGCGGAUGACCUGUGGCUGGGGGUGAAAGGCCAAUCAAACCGGGAGAUAGCUGGUUCUCCCCGAAAGCUAUUUAGGUAGCGCCUCGUGAAUUCAUCUCCGGGGGUAGAGCACUGUUUCGGCUAGGGGGCCAUCCCGGCUUACCAACCCGAUGCAAACUGCGAAUACCGGAGAAUGUUAUCACGGGAGACACACGGCGGGUGCUAACGUCCGUCGUGAAGAGGGAAACAACCCAGACCGCCAGCUAAGGUCCCAAAGUCAUGGUUAAGUGGGAAACGAUGUGGGAAGGCCCAGACAGCCAGGAUGUUGGCUUAGAAGCAGCCAUCAUUUAAAGAAAGCGUAAUAGCUCACUGGUCGAGUCGGCCUGCGCGGAAGAUGUAACGGGGCUAAACUAUGCACCGAAGCUGCGGCAGCGACACUAUGUGUUGUUGGGUAGGGGAGCGUUCUGUAAGCCUGUGAAGGUGUGUCGUGAGGCAUGCUGGAGGUAUCAGAAGUGCGAAUGCUGACAUAAGUAACGAUAAAGCGGGUGAAAAGCCCGCUCGCCGGAAGACCAAGGGUUCCUGUCCAACGUUAAUCGGGGCAGGGUGAGUCGACCCCUAAGGCGAGGCCGAAAGGCGUAGUCGAUGGGAAACGGGUUAAUAUUCCCGUACUUGGUGUUACUGCGAAGGGGGGACGGAGAAGGCUAUGUUGGCCGGGCGACGGUUGUCCCGGUUUAAGCGUGUAGGUGUGUGUUCCAGGUAAAUCCGGUUCACUUUAACACUGAGGCGUGAUGACGAGGCACUACGGUGCUGAAGCAACAAAUGCCCUGCUUCCAGGAAAAGCCUCUAAGCAUCAGGUAACAUCAAAUCGUACCCCAAACCGACACAGGUGGUCAGGUAGAGAAUACCAAGGCGCUUGAGAGAACUCGGGUGAAGGAACUAGGCAAAAUGGUGCCGUAACUUCGGGAGAAGGCACGCUGACACGUAGGUGAAGUGAUUUACUCAUGGAGCUGAAGUCAGUCGAAGAUACCAGCUGGCUGCAACUGUUUAUUAAAAACACAGCACUGUGCAAACACGAAAGUGGACGUAUACGGUGUGACGCCUGCCCGGUGCCGGAAGGUUAAUUGAUGGGGUCAGCGCAAGCGAAGCUCCUGAUCGAAGCCCCGGUAAACGGCGGCCGUAACUAUAACGGUCCUAAGGUAGCGAAAUUCCUUGUCGGGUAAGUUCCGACCUGCACGAAUGGCGUAAUGAUGGCCAGGCUGUCUCCACCCGAGACUCAGUGAAAUUGAACUCGCUGUGAAGAUGCAGUGUACCCGCGGCAAGACGGAAAGACCCCGUGAACCUUUACUAUAGCUUGACACUGAACAUUGAGCCUUGAUGUGUAGGAUAGGUGGGAGGCUUUGAAGCGUGGACGCCAGUCUGCGUGGAGCCGACCUUGAAAUACCACCCUUUAAUGUUUGAUGUUCUAACGUGGACCCGUGAUCCGGGUUGCGGACAGUGUCUGGUGGGUAGUUUGACUGGGGCGGUCUCCUCCUAAAGAGUAACGGAGGAGCACGAAGGUUGGCUAAUCCUGGUCGGACAUCAGGAGGUUAGUGCAAUGGCAUAAGCCAGCUUGACUGCGAGCGUGACGGCGCGAGCAGGUGCGAAAGCAGGUCAUAGUGAUCCGGUGGUUCUGAAUGGAAGGGCCAUCGCUCAACGGAUAAAAGGUACUCCGGGGAUAACAGGCUGAUACCGCCCAAGAGUUCAUAUCGACGGCGGUGUUUGGCACCUCGAUGUCGGCUCAUCACAUCCUGGGGCUGAAGUAGGUCCCAAGGGUAUGGCUGUUCGCCAUUUAAAGUGGUACGCGAGCUGGGUUUAGAACGUCGUGAGACAGUUCGGUCCCUAUCUGCCGUGGGCGCUGGAGAACUGAGGGGGGCUGCUCCUAGUACGAGAGGACCGGAGUGGACGCAUCACUGGUGUUCGGGUUGUCAUGCCAAUGGCACUGCCCGGUAGCUAAAUGCGGAAGAGAUAAGUGCUGAAAGCAUCUAAGCACGAAACUUGCCCCGAGAUGAGUUCUCCCUGAGACUUAAAGUCUCCUGAAGGAACGUUGAAGACGACGACGUUGAUAGGCCGGGUGUGUAAGCGCAGCGAUGCGUUGAGCUAACCGGUACUAAUGAACCGUGAGGCUUAACCUU